RNAcentral lists this long non-coding RNA (4306 nucleotides) under Homo sapiens (human). RNAcentral describes it as "HSALNT0105495". The record is from RNAcentral. Lineage: Eukaryota; Metazoa; Chordata; Mammalia; Primates; Hominidae.
CCACCGUGCCUGGCCACGUCAAUUUAUUCUUACACUUGAUCUGGACUUCAGUUUUACUAGCUUAUACACAAUUUAUCAAUUUCAGGAGUCUUAUUCCAUUUGUAAUAAAAUAUAAAACAAGAAUAUAUAUGUAUACAAAUGUAUAAUAUAGCUAUUACUAAAUUUAAAUGCUUUUUAUACGUAUGUAACUAUAGGCAGGUGAAAAAGUUUAAAAGCAUACAAAGCCCAGUAUAAAAGCAAUGCAUUAUACUUUUUCUUCCUUCUGUAAUGUUACACUUUUUUCUGGUUUAAAAAAAUUAUAUAACAUAUUUUAAGAUACAACAUUUUAAUCACUUAACAGUUUCAUUUAUAGUAAAGACUAUAGUGACCACUUCAGAACAUUCUGACUACAUAAUGUUUUCUCCUUGAGUUUUAAAAAAAACGCUUAAUUGUGGGGGGAUAAAAAAAAGCAUUUACCAUCUUAGCUAUUUUAAAGUGCACAGUUCACUAUUUUUAAGUAUAUUCACAUUGUUGUGCAACCAAUCUCCAGAACUUUUUCAUCUUGCAAAACUAAAAUUUUAUACCCAUUAAGCAUUUCCUCCUUCCCUAAUCUUUGGCAACUUCUAUUCUACUUUGUUUUUAUGAAUUUGACUACUCUGGAUAGAUAACUCAUAUAAGUGGAAUCAGACAGUACUUUUCUUUUUGUCACUGGAUUACUUCACUUAGUAUAAUGCCCUCAAGGUUCGUCCAUGUUGUAGCAUCUGCCAGAAUUUUUCUUUAAAACGUAAAUAUUCCACUGUACGUUUAUAUCACAUUUUGUUUAUCUAUUCAUCUAUUGAAGGACACUUGAGUUGCUUCCACCUUUUGGUUGCUGUUAAUAAUGCUGCUACAAACAUGAGUGUACAAAUAUCUCUUCAAGACCCUGCUUUCAAUUCUGUUGGUUAUAUGCCCACAAGUAGAACUGCUAGAUCAACAUGGUAACUCUAUUUUUAAUUUUUUGAGGAACUUCCAUACCGUUUUCCACAGCAGCUGCACUAUUUUACAUUCCCACCAACAGCGCAUAAGGGUUCCAAUUUCUCUACAUCCUCAUCAACACUUGUUGUUUUCUCUUUUUUUAACAGUACCCAUUCUAACCGGUAUGAGGGUAAUACUUCACUGUGGUUUUGACUUGCAUUUCCCUAAUGAUUAGUGAUGUUGAACAUCUUUUCAUAUGCUUGUUGUCCAUUUUUAUAUCUUCUUUGGAGAAAUUUCAAGCCCUUUGCCCAGUUUUUAAAAAGUUUUUAGAGACAGGGUAUCGCUAUGUUGCCCAGACUGGUCUUGAACUCCUGGCGUCUAAGUGACCCUCCCACCUAGGUCUCCCAAAAUGCUGGGAUUACAGGUAUGGCCACUGCAACUGGUCCUUUACCCAUUUUUAAAUUGGGCUAUUUUGUUGUUUUUGUUGAGUUAUAGGAGUUGUUUGUGUAUUCUGGGUAUUAAUCCCUUAUCAGAUAUAAGAUUUGCAAACAUUUUUCUCCCAUUCCAUAGGCUGCCUUUCAUUCUGUUACUGUUUGAUGCACAAAAGUUUUUAAUUUUGAUGUAUUCUAAUUUAUGUUUAAUUUAUGAUGUACAGUAAUUUAUGUUUAAUUGUUUUACUUUUGUUGCCUGUACUUUUGAUGUCAUGCCAAGAAACCACUGCAAAAUCCAAUGUCAUGAAGCCUUUCCUCCAUAUUCUUUAUCUUUUCUUUUUUCUUUUUUUUGAGACAUAGUUUCGUUCUUGUUGCCUAGGCUGGAGUGCAAUGGUGUGAUCUUGGCUCACUGCAACUUCUGCCUCCCGGGUUCAAGCGAUUCUCCUGCCUCCACCUCCCAAGUAGCUGGGAUUAUAGGCAUGCGCCACCAUGCCCAGCUAAUUUUUUUUUUUUUUUUUUUUUUUAGUAGAGACGGGGUUUCACCAUAUUGGUCAGGGCUGGUCUUGAAUUCCUAACCUCAGGUGAUCCGCCCGCCUCGGCCUCCCAAAGUGCUGGCAUUACAGGUGUGAGCCACUGUGCCCGGCCUUCCUCCAUAUUCUUAUGGGAAGGUUUCUAAUGCAAGGUUUAGAUCUUGCAUUUAGGUCUUUGAUCCAUUUUGAGUUAAUUUUUGCAGAUGGUGUAAGAUAAGGACCCAAUUUCAUUCUUUUACAUGUGGAUAUCUAGCUUUUCCAACACCAUUUGUUGAAAAGACUGUUCUUUCUCCCACUGAAUGGUCUUGGCACCCUUGUUGAAAAAUCACUACCUUUUAAAUGUACAUUUACAUUUGAAUAUGAGCAUCUUGAACACACUAUAGGAUGAAAGCUACACCAUAUCAUACAGAAAAAAAAUUACUUUUUCAUAUGGGAGUAGAAAAGAACAAGAAAGGUAAAUAUUUUAACUGUAAAAGAUUUCCUUUCAAAAUAUAAAAGCUGACAAACAAGGUUAAUCACUAAUAAGCUUCAGGUAAUAAAAAUGCAUCUGAUUCAUUCCUGCUUCACCUUCCUUGAGGGAUUCCUAGGACUCAGUACCAAUUUCUGAUCUCUAUUUUAACUACUUGCAUAUUCUGCUAAUUUUUAUGUUAAAAAUAAGAAAAACCUCAUAUAACAGAUAAUACAGAAAUCCUUUCUUCUUUUUAUACUAAAUAAAGCAAAUUAUUUUUCCUGUAUACCUUUUCCUCAUAUAUUUUAGGUUUUUUUGUUUUUGUUUUUUUGAGAUGGAAUCUUGCUCUGUCGCCCAGGCUGGAGUGCAAUGGCACAAUCUCGGCUUACUGCAACCUCCACUCCCAGGCUCAAGUGAUUCUCCUGCCUCAGCCUCCCCAGUAGCUGGGAUUAUAGGCAUGUGCCACCACACCAGCUAAUUUUUGUAUUUGUAGUAGAGACAGGGUUUCACUAUGUUGGCCAGGCUGGUCUUGAACUUCUAAACUCAGGUGAUCUGCCCGCCUCGGCCUCCCAAAGUGCCGGGAUUACAGGCAUGAGCCACCACGCCUGGCCUAGUUUUAUUUUAAAAUAGCUAUAAAAGGGCUCUAAUAAUCAUCCCUACUCCCUACCAAUAGUAACUAAUCAUGAAUUAAACAAAUUAAUUUAUGUAUUUUGUUUUGAGUCAGUGUCUCGCUCUGUCACCCAGGCUGGAGUGAAGGCAUGUGAUCAUAGCUCACUGCAGCCUGGACCUCCUGGGCUCCAGUGAUCCUCCCAUCUCAGCCUCCUGAGAAAGCUGGGACUAUAGGCGUGCACCACCACGCCUGGCUAAUUUUUGUAUUUUUUGUAGAGAUGGGGUUUCACCAUGUUGUCCAGGCUGGUCUUGAACCCUUGGGUUCAACUGAUCCUCCUGCCUUGGCCUCCCAAACUGCUGAGAUUACAGUAAUUUAUGUUUAAGACUCUUUUAAAGUGUUCAUAUCUUAUGUUACAUUGUAUUUUUGUCAUUUCUCUAACUACUAAGAGAACUAAUCACAGGAUAAUCCCUCCCCACCUUCAUGGCUUAUAAUUAAAACAAACAAACAAACAAACAGGGAAAGAAAACAGAUAUGGUAGCAUUAUCUGUCCUGGGACAGCCUUAAGGAUCAACUCUGCCAGACUAAAUUGUUACAUACUUGAAGGUAGGGGUCAUGUUUUAAUUACUCUUUGCAAAGAACUAUAGCACCACAACACUGUACUCAAAAAGAGAACAAAGGCAUGAUGUAAUAUCGAAUUUAAAUGGAGUGAGAAAUUUGCUCAGCUUUCCACAGCCUAAAUCAGCUCCUCCCUGAUAUCCACUCAGCAGUGGAAAUUGGAAGCAUUCCUCCUCUAUCGCAAAGUACCAGGAAAAACCAAAGUAAGUACUUUCUUAAAGUUUGCUGUCUUUCUGGCUCACACUUUUGGGGACAAUUAAAAAAAUUAAAUAUUUUAGCCUAAAAGCUUUCCUUAAAAAUCUCCUGAAUGCUCCUAAACUGCAUGUAAAAAAAAGUAAACAGAUACUAAGAAUAUAUUGGCUGAGUGCAGUGACUCAUGCUUGUAAUCCCAGCACUCUGGGAGGCUGAGGCAGGAGGAUCACUGAAGCCUAGGAGUUCAAUGCUGUAGUGAGUUAUGAUGGUGCCAUUGCAUUCCAGCCCCAAUAACAGAGCAAGUCUCUGGAGAGAAAGAGAGAGAGAAAGAGGGAGGAGGAGGAAGAAAGAGAGAGAGAGAGAGAGAGAGCGAGCGAACACAAGCGCCAGUGCUUUUGAUAAACCUUACUAUGACAUAUCAUUACUGGUAAGAAAUGUCUACUGUGGCUGGGUGCAGUGGCUCACCCCUGUAAUACCAGCACUUUGGGGGCCAAGGCAGGCGGAUCACGAGGUCUGGAGAUUGAGACCAUCCUCGCCAACAUGGUGA